This 230-nucleotide long non-coding RNA is filed under the name Capsicum annuum. Its description in RNAcentral is "long non-coding RNA (CANN_LNC021357)". Lineage: Eukaryota; Viridiplantae; Streptophyta; Magnoliopsida; Solanales; Solanaceae. The record is from RNAcentral.
AGAUCUCUCAACUUUGAAAUUGAACCUGUGCUUGAUUGCAUAGUUAUGCACUACUGAGACAAAUGUAGCUUUGUUUUUAUACUUUUGGUUCAACUUUACAACACUGUUAUAGCAAUUACUUAUCAGUUCUUCACCACCCACAUUAACAAUUGGCAGAGAUUCAACGUUACCAACUACAACUAUUGCAAGUUCAGACGACUCAACAAAAUCAUAACACUCAAUUGUUAUAU